RNAcentral lists this ribosomal RNA (449 nucleotides) under uncultured bacterium. RNAcentral describes it as "partial 16S ribosomal RNA". It matches the Rfam family "Bacterial small subunit ribosomal RNA", at positions 329 to 795 of the family's 1533-position model. The record is from RNAcentral.
GGCCAGACUCCUACGGGAGGCAGCAGUGGGGAAUAUUGCACAAUGGGGGAAACCCUGAUGCAGCGACGCCGCGUGAGUGAAGAAGUAUUUCGGUAUGUAAAGCUCUAUCAGCAGGAAAGAAAAUGACGGUACCUGACUAAGAAGCCCCGGCUAACUACGUGCCAGCAGCCGCGGUAAUACGUAGGGGGCAAGCGUUAUCCGGAUUUACUGGGUGUAAAGGGGGCGCAGACGGCAGCGCAAGCCAGGAGUGAAAGCCCGGGGCCCAACCCCGGGACUGCUCUUGGAACUGCGCGGCUGGAGUGCAGGAGGGGCAGGCGGAAUUCCUGGUGUAGCGGUGAAAUGCGUAGAUAUCAGGAGGAACACCGGUGGCGAAGGCGGCCUGCUGGACUGCGACUGACGUUGAGGCCCGAAAGCGUGGGGAGCAAACAGGAUUAGAUACCCCCGUAGCG